Molecule: ribosomal RNA, 638 nt
Filed under: uncultured Lachnospiraceae bacterium
Lineage: Bacteria; Bacillati; Bacillota; Clostridia; Lachnospirales; Lachnospiraceae
Description: bacterial SSU rRNA
Rfam family: Bacterial small subunit ribosomal RNA
Source: RNAcentral
GAUUCUUCGGAUGAUUUUCAGUUGACUGAGCGGCGGACGGGUGAGUAACGCGUGGGUGACCUGCCCCAUACCGGGGGAUAACAGCUGGAAACGGCUGCUAAUACCGCAUAAGCGCACAGAGCUGCAUGGCUCGGUGUGAAAAACUCCGGUGGUAUGGGAUGGGCCCGCGUCUGAUUAGGCAGUUGGCGGGGUAACGGCCCACCAAACCGACGAUCAGUAGCCGGCCUGAGAGGGCGACCGGCCACAUUGGGACUGAGACACGGCCCAAACUCCUACGGGAGGCAGCAGUGGGGAAUAUUGCACAAUGGGGGAAACCCUGAUGCAGCGACGCCGCGUGAGCGAAGAAGUAUUUCGGUAUGUAAAGCUCUAUCAGCAGGGAAGAUGAUGACGGUACCUGACUAAGAAGCCCCGGCUAACUACGUGCCAGCAGCCGCGGUAAUACGUAGGGGGCAAGCGUUAUCCGGAUUUACUGGGUGUAAAGGGAGCGUAGACGGCGAAGCAAGUCUGGUGUGAAAACCCGGGGCUCAACCCCGGGCCUGCAUUGGAAACUGUUUUGCUUGAGUGCCGGAGAGGUAAGCGGAAUUCCUAGUGUAGCGGUGAAAUGCGUAGAUAUUAGGAGGAACACCAGUGGCGAAGGC